RNAcentral lists this ribosomal RNA (382 nucleotides) under uncultured Tubulinea. RNAcentral describes it as "partial Bacterial large subunit ribosomal RNA". It matches the Rfam family "Bacterial large subunit ribosomal RNA", at positions 1783 to 2156 of the family's 2925-position model. Lineage: Eukaryota; Tubulinea. The record is from RNAcentral.
GACAAGGGGAAUCCGACUGUUUAAUUAAAACAAAGCACUUUGCAUAAGAUGACAAAUCAAAGUAUUGAGUGUGAAUUCUGCCCGAUGUUGGCUGGUUAACGGAUUUUCUUAGCCGACUAAAAUAAGCUAGGUUUUGAAGGAAACCCCAAUCAAUGGCGGCCUUAACGAUAAGGGUCCUAAGGUAGCGGAAUACCUUGGCCGUUAAAUGCGGUCUUGCAUGAAUGAUUUAACGAUACAACAGCUGUCUCAAUGAUUGGCUCAGUGAAAUUGGAAUAACUGUGCAGAUACAGUUUACCUCUAGUUAGACGAGAAGACCCUAUGCAGCUUUACUGUUUGUAGUUAUUGGAUACAAUGGAACAAGUUGUAGCGUAUAAGGUAGUUG